This 396-nucleotide long non-coding RNA is filed under the name Penaeus japonicus. RNAcentral describes it as "uncharacterized LOC122242352". The record is from RNAcentral. Lineage: Eukaryota; Metazoa; Arthropoda; Malacostraca; Decapoda; Penaeidae.
UAAGCGUUCGUCAGAGGAGAGGUUGUUAAGGGUCGCCAGGGUCGUCGUCUACAGGGGCUACGUGGUCGGUGCGCCUGCGUCUGUACAUUGGUUCCGGUUCUGUUUGGAUGCGUUGCAGACUUCGUGGGAACCACGAAUGGUUUGCUGUGCCGAAUUCCAUCUCCGUCACUCUUUGGUAUGUGCGGUUUACAUAGGAUCGUCUGGAUCAUCUUGUGCAUCAUGGUUCCGGUUUCUCCUCCUGUAGCUGAGGAGCGGUGGUGGUUCCUGUGAGGUCUUCUGUGGGAGAUGAAAACCAGGAGGUAGUCGUCCGAGCCACCAUCUCUUCGCGUUUUCAGGUUUGUUAUAUUUAGUAUUAGUUUACUGUUGUAGUUGUGCACCCACAUGCAUGAGAUUGUU